This is a long non-coding RNA of Bombina bombina (fire-bellied toad), 275 nucleotides long. RefSeq lists it as uncharacterized. Lineage: Eukaryota; Metazoa; Chordata; Amphibia; Anura; Bombinatoridae. The transcript has 2 exons. The record is from RefSeq and is a predicted model, not a curated record.
CAUUACUGACCAUGAAAUGAGAAGAUGCAUAGGGGAAUGCCAAUCCCACUCAAGAAUUGUUUGUGGUCACAGGCCGGUGCCAAAUUCAAGAUCAUAGAACAGAUACAGAUGGACAUCAUAUUAUAUUUUUGUUGUUCUGUCAACAUUAUUGUGCAUCUGCAUUAUACUUGUACCCUAGGCCUAUACUAUAAGUUAUUCUCUGGUUUAUUACAAUAUCAUAUUUAAAAUGUUUUAAUACCUGGAAAAUUUGAAGCCUAAUAAAACUUUAAAUUAUU